AGUCGAGAGCCAAAAAGAUUAAGAACUAGAGAAUUAAUUUGGCUUCAGAAAGAGAUGAGCAUCACCCUUGAAUUCGAGAGAAUUUCAUAAGUUGUCAUCUCCACAUUCUUAAGGAUCUUCAUUGAAAAUCUCAUCAUGUCGGUGUUUCACUUACUAGGCGUUGAGCACAUCAUCUCAAAAGAGAUAUGCAUUGAAUGUGUAGUCUGUACACUCUUCAUCUAGUCGCGUGGUGCGACAUUUGGAGCAGGACGUGACAUGUGUAAACAUAGUAACCAAACCAUGCACCAUAGAGACAUGGCAAUGUGGCUACUCAUCGAGAGGUUGAGACCUAGAGGUUAUGUUCAUGAACAUAGGAAUUUCCUCUCAAGUAUAAGAAAAAAUGAGACAUGCUCAUCUUAUCUCCAUUCUUAUAAUUCAUUUGACAAAUAUUGCUUUAUAUUCAUCCACCUUCAUUUCAUCUAUUCUCUUUAAGUUCAUAGUUA
Molecule: long non-coding RNA, 482 nt
Organism: Cucumis sativus (cucumber)
Lineage: Eukaryota; Viridiplantae; Streptophyta; Magnoliopsida; Cucurbitales; Cucurbitaceae
Exons: 2
Source: RefSeq, a predicted model, not a curated record